ACAAAGGUAGCAUAAUCAAUAGUCUCUUAAUUGGUGACUUGUAUGAAAGAUUGGAUGAAAUAUAUACUGUCUCUAAUUAAUUUAUAGAAAUUAAUUUUUUAGUAAAAAAGCUAAAAUAAUUUUAAAAGACGAGAAGACCCUAUAGAGUUUAAUAAUUUAUUUAAUUAUAUUUAUUAUAUAAUUUUUAAAAUUAAAAUUAAAUGAAUUAUUUUGUUGGGGUGAUAGAAAAAUUAAAUUAACUUUUUUUUAAUUGUUAACAUUAAUUUAUGAUUAAAUGAUCCAUUAAUAAUGAUUAAAAGAAAAAAUUACCUUAGGGAUAACAGCGUAAUUUUUUUUUUUAGUUCAAAUAGGAAAAAAAGUUUGCGACCUCGAUGUUGGAUUAA
RNAcentral lists this ribosomal RNA (383 nucleotides) under Papilio helenus daksha. RNAcentral's name for it is "partial 16S ribosomal RNA". The record is from RNAcentral. Lineage: Eukaryota; Metazoa; Arthropoda; Insecta; Lepidoptera; Papilionidae.